GUCUUAAAAAACCAAAAUAUCCUGUUCAGUGAAUAAAAAGAAACUGACAGGAGUAGAACAAAAGUUAACAUACCAAGGCCUUUUGCUGGAGGAGGAGGCAUGAGAGGAGCAGUGCAUUACAGUCAAAACUCCACCCUCAGCAAAAAGAACAGAGGAACAAAAACAGCAAGCCGAGCUCAUGGACAUCUCCUGCAUUUGAGGCAAUUGAAGCCGAAGCUGCUGCUUUGCCUUUCACCAUGCUCCUGCUGUCUUCAGCAGAGCCCUGCAGAGCUGGGUCAUUGGGUCCUAUGAGAUCAACCCUUCCUGGAAAAGUGUUGGGUGCAGCCCCAGCGCUGUCAAUGCUGCCUUGCACUGGGAGAGUGCAUUUGUGGAGUGUGAAAGCCAGUACGAAUCAUAAAGAGCUGGAGGAGGCAGGAAGGAAUACAGGUAAAAAAAUACAACACCUGUAAGGUAAGCCUGAGAAAAGUUAUGGUUAUUUACUCAAAGCAAGACUAAAGGAACAUGUGAUAAGCAUUUCCAAACACAGCAGUAUAGAGUGCUGAUCAUAAUGUCUGUUCAGAUGCAGCAAGGAUUGGAACAAGGCAGGUUUAGGUCAGAGAUUCCCCAUUGGUUUCCAGCUGCCAGGAGAGUCACACUACUGAGUGGAGUGCCAGGGGAGAUGCUCCAGAAUUUGCUUAUGGAGGUUUGGGGAGGCUGGUAAGUAAAGCACUGUCAGUCAGGAAUGGUUUGUAUGCAAAUUCUACUGCCUUGGUUCUUCAGGAUGGACUAACAGACAUACUGAGUCCAUUCCAGCCCUGUUUGCUGAGAUUUCCACAUUGUAUAAACUCAAGUGUAGGUCUGACCUAGCUGGAAUGUUUUUGCCAUUAAGUGAAACAAAAGGCUUACAGAUGUGAACGGCAAAUUACAUACUGCAAAUUAAAGCUUUAAGAAAUUAAGCAUGGCCUUUUCACAUUGUAUUUAUACUUUUUGAAAGUUAUUUUAGUUCACUGCAUAUAAAUAACAAGUUGAGAAUUGCUGUUCUUAAUUGAAACCAUCUCUACUUUUCUAUGACAAGAGAUUACCAUUUUUAACAGACUCUUUGUGAUCCACUGAGGCUCAUCAUAGGAUUUUUUUGCAUUGUUGCUAGGCAGCUUCACGCAUGCCAGCAGACAGACACUGCUGGGUAUGUCAUGGCUAAUUAGGAAAAAAUCUCUGUACUUCUGAGUAUAUUGCAGCUCAAGUUUUUCAAGCUUGCUGGUCUGCAUAAACACAAAUUAAUUGAUAUGAGGACUGACGAAGAGCCAUCAUGGCAACUGUGCGGUGCUCUAAUAUUUUUUGUUUACAGUCCCCUGGAUCCACCGAGUGAAUGAAGUUGUAAAUAUCUAAACAGUAUUUGUUUGUGUUUCUGGGAAGAGAGCACCGAAUGGAACUGUGCUAACAUUGGCUUUGUCCUGGAUAUUUCAAAGAACUGAGCAUCACAUUCAGAUAUACAUGAUCUGCUCAAUUAACGCAAGCAGAAUAUUUUGCAAGGAUCAGGAAUUUUUGGAGGGGUGUGAGUAGUUUUAUUCCUACCAAGCAGUUUGAUAAUGAAAAAAACCUCUUAAAUGUUAUUGCCAGUUCUAUCCUGACUGUUUUUCAGCCAAUGCAUGGAGUAUAAAUGCCUCUGCAGAAGAGAUGUCAUAGAAAGAUGUACAACUGCAGGUGAGCAAUGCCAGGAGGCAGCUGCAUCCACUGCCCAUGGGUUGAGACAAAGCUGCCUGGCUGCCAAACUUAAAACAUGAGGUGGUUUUUCUUCUGGCUAUUCAGAGCAGCUAUCAGAGCAGACAGUUAAUGAAUAUUAGGGAAGAGUCCUUGCUGGAGUUAAACGUGCCUAGCAUCAGCUAUGAUUGUUUUGACCGCUGUUUACUCUGAAGAGAGAGAACCAGAAACUUGUCAUUUCUGUAAAAGGGGAAUGUUGGCUGUAGGGUAAAUCCUCAUUAAAUCUCUUAGGAAGUUAUCAUUUGAAAACACAGUGAAUGGCAGGUUGAAGUACAGGGAUUAUAGGAGCUGAAGGCACCUGAAAAAGAUAGAGAUUUAACUUGUGCUUGGUUUUCCUCUUCCUUCGGAUGGAUUGCUUUUAAUCUGGAUGCAGUUCAGAGAAACAAACAUCCUGAAAGAAGCUUUAAACAGCUUCCACAGUCAGGGAAGAACUAGGUUUGUAGAAACUUCUGAACUAUUCAGAAAUGUCUUUUGAAUAACGAAGGUGAAGCUGUCUCACAUGCAAGCUCAAAGCUGAUAACAAAAACAGCUCCUGCCUUCUCUUCUUUUUCAAAGCCUCACUUCACCAUUUUGUUUUUACUUUUCCUACCCUUUCUUGCCUGAAUGUACUAUAUUUCUGUUACCUGUUCAUGUAAAACACAGUUCUGAUGGAGACAGAGGGACUUAUCACAUGGCAGUCUGUCUUUGAACCUCGGGGGGACAUCUGCAUUGUCUGCUUUUCUUUCCUUUGACACUGCUGUAGGGAACAGAAUGGAAUGAGAAAAGGAUAGGGAUAGGG
Long non-coding RNA from Tympanuchus pallidicinctus (lesser prairie-chicken), 2515 nucleotides. RefSeq lists it as uncharacterized. NCBI's taxonomy places the organism in Eukaryota, Metazoa, Chordata, Aves, Galliformes, Phasianidae. The transcript is spliced from 3 exons. The record is from RefSeq and is a predicted model, not a curated record.